Molecule: long non-coding RNA, 91 nt
Organism: Gopherus evgoodei (Goodes thornscrub tortoise)
Lineage: Eukaryota; Metazoa; Chordata; Testudines; Testudinidae
Exons: 3
Source: RefSeq, a predicted model, not a curated record
UAAAAAUAUUUCUGGACACCACUUUUUGGUGCCCCCAAAUCUCGGCGCCCUAGGCGGCCGCCUAGUUGACCUAGUGGUUACACCGGCCUUG